UCCCAGACUCCUACGGGAGGCAGCAGUGGGGAAUAUUGCACAAUGGGGGAAACCCUGAUGCAGCGGCGCCGCGUGAGUGAGGAAGUAUUUCGGUAUGUAAAGCUCUAUCAGCAGGGAAGAAAAUGACGGUACCUGACUAAGAAGCCCCGGCUAACUACGUGCCAGCAGCCGCGGUAAUACGUAGGGGGCAAGCGUUAUCCGGAUUUACUGGGUGUAAAGGGAGCGUAGACGGUGCGUCAAGUCUGAAGUGAAAGCCCGGGGCUUAACCCCGGGACUGCUUUGGAAACUGGCGCGCUAGAGUGCUGGAGAGGUAAGUGGAAUUCCUAGUGUAGCGGUGAAAUGCGUAGAUAUUAGGAGGAACACCAGUGGCGAAGGCGGCUUACUGGACAGUAACUGACGUUGAGGCUCGAAAGCGUGGGGAGCAAACAGGAUUAGAUACCCGCGUAUG
Molecule: ribosomal RNA, 448 nt
Filed under: uncultured bacterium
Lineage: Bacteria
Description: bacterial SSU rRNA
Rfam family: Bacterial small subunit ribosomal RNA
Source: RNAcentral